UUCUGAAGCCAUGGUGGAUCUGCACA
Molecule: non-coding RNA, 26 nt
Filed under: Homo sapiens (human)
Lineage: Eukaryota; Metazoa; Chordata; Mammalia; Primates; Hominidae
Source: RNAcentral